Biomphalaria glabrata is the source of this 150-nucleotide non-coding RNA. The record is from Rfam. Lineage: Eukaryota; Metazoa; Mollusca; Gastropoda; Planorbidae.
AUGCCUUAAACUAAUGAGUAAGGAAAAUAACGAGCCUGGGUGAUUACAGGCUCCCAGACAUUCAGUUCUGGAAGAAUUUCUUUACGGGCUCAGGACCACCCCAAGGUGACCCACCUACUUCGUGGGAUGCCUGGGUGAUGGACUUGCCCU